Bradysia coprophila is the source of this 163-nucleotide long non-coding RNA. NCBI's taxonomy places the organism in Eukaryota, Metazoa, Arthropoda, Insecta, Diptera, Sciaridae. The record is from RefSeq and is a predicted model, not a curated record.
ACUUACAACCAGCCAGGUAUGGAAGAUCAAAAAUAUCUGAGACUGGUUUGGGGCCUAGACACCAAGGUCUAACCAGGCAUAUAUAAACAAGUCCCGGAAUAAAUAGAGCCGAUUUCGGUCAGUCGAAAUUCAAAAGAAUCCGUCCAACAUUAUCUGACACUUU